CUCAAAGGAAUUGACGGGGGCCCGCACAAGCGGUGGAUGAUGUGGAUUAAUUCGAUGCAACGCGAAGAACCUUACCUACCCUUGACAUGCCAGGAACCCUGCUGAGAGGUGGGGGUGCCCGAAAGGGAAUCUGGACACAGGUGCUGCAUGGCUGUCGUCAGCUCGUGUCGUGAGAUGUUGGGUUAAGUCCCGCAACGAGCGCAACCCUUGCCAUUAGUUGCUACGAAAGGGCACUCUAAUGGGACUGCCGGUGACAAACCGGAGGAAGGUGGGGAUGACGUCAAGUCCUCAUGGCCCUUAUGGGUAGGGCUUCACACGUCAUACAAUGGUCGGUACAGAGGGUUGCCAACCCGCGAGGGGGAGCCAAUCCCACAAAGCCGAUCGUAGUCCGGAUCGCAGUCUGCAACUCGACUGCGUGAAGUCGGAAUCGCUAGUAAUCGCGGAUCAGCAUGCGGCGGUGAAUACGUUCCCGGGCCUUGUACACACCGCCCGUCACACCAUGGAG
RNAcentral lists this ribosomal RNA (505 nucleotides) under uncultured beta proteobacterium Kmlps3-11. Its description in RNAcentral is "bacterial SSU rRNA". It matches the Rfam family "Bacterial small subunit ribosomal RNA", at positions 900 to 1409 of the family's 1533-position model. The record is from RNAcentral. Lineage: Bacteria; Pseudomonadati; Pseudomonadota; Betaproteobacteria.